RNAcentral lists this ribosomal RNA (605 nucleotides) under Cautires sp. UPOL VK0438. RNAcentral describes it as "partial 16S ribosomal RNA". It matches the Rfam family "Bacterial large subunit ribosomal RNA", at positions 1816 to 2715 of the family's 2925-position model. Lineage: Eukaryota; Metazoa; Arthropoda; Insecta; Coleoptera; Lycidae. The record is from RNAcentral.
CAUGUCCUUUUGAAUUUAAUUUAAGGUCUAAUCUGCUCAAUGAUAUUUAAAUAGCCGCAGUAUUUUGACUGUGCAAAGGUAGCAUAAUAAUUAGUUUCUUAAUUGGGAGCUGGAAUGAAUGAUUGGACAAGAAAAUUUCUGUCUCUUUCUUAAUAUUAUUGAAUUUUAUUUUUAAGUGAAAAAGCUUAAAUUUUUAUAAAAGACGAGAAGACCCUAUAGAGUUUAAUAAUUAAUUUUAAUAAGAGUUUAGUAUUAUUAUUUAGGAUUAAAUUAUUUGGUUGGGGUGAUUAAAAGAUUAAAAAAAUUCUUUUAUAAAUUUAAUUGAAUAUUUUCAAUUUUUAAAUCUAUAAUUUAUAAAAUUAAAAUAAAUUACCUUAGGGAUAACAGCGUAAUUUUUCUUUAAAGUUCUUAUUAAUAGAAAAGUUUGCGACCUCGAUGUUGGAUUAAAAUUAAUUUUUGGUGCAGUAACUAAAAAAUUAGGUCUGUUCGACCUUUAAAAUUUUACAUGAUCUGAGUUUAGACCGGUGUGAGCCAGGUCGGAUUCUAUCUUUAGAAAUUUUUUAUAUUUUAGUACGAAAGGACCAAAUAUAAAUUAAAUUAAUUGU